RNAcentral lists this ribosomal RNA (484 nucleotides) under uncultured bacterium. RNAcentral's name for it is "partial 16S ribosomal RNA". It matches the Rfam family "Bacterial small subunit ribosomal RNA", at positions 30 to 507 of the family's 1533-position model. The record is from RNAcentral.
AUUGAACGCUGGCAGCAAGCCUAACACAUGCAAGUCGAGCGGAUGAAGGGAGCUUGCUCCUGGAUUCAGCGGCGGACGGGUGAGUAAUGCCUAGGAAUCUGCCUGGUAGCGGGGGAUAACGUCCGGAAACGGGCGCUAAUACCGCAUACGUCCUGAGGGAGAAAGUGGGGGAUCUUCGGACCUCACGCUAUCAGAUGAGCCUAGGUCGGAUUAGCUAGUUGGUGGGGUAAAGGCCUACCAAGGCGACGAUCCGUAACUGGUCUGAGAGGAUGAUCAGUCACACUGGAACUGAGACACGGUCCAGACUCCUACGGGAGGCAGCAGUGGGGAAUAUUGGACAAUGGGCGAAAGCCUGAUCCAGCCAUGCCGCGUGUGUGAAGAAGGUCUUCGGAUUGUAAAGCACUUUAAGUUGGGAGGAAGGGCAGUAAGUUAAUACCUUGCUGUUUUGACGUUACCAACAGAAUAAGCACCGGCUAACUUCGUG